This 212-nucleotide long non-coding RNA is filed under the name Medicago truncatula (barrel medic). RNAcentral describes it as "lncRNA gene47782". Lineage: Eukaryota; Viridiplantae; Streptophyta; Magnoliopsida; Fabales; Fabaceae. The record is from RNAcentral.
CUAAAAUUAUGAAUUAUGUUAUUCAUAGUUUGUUUUCUCAUUGCUCUGUGUAGGUCUUCAUCAAAUGCACUUUAAUUGUCAAAGUAUAUAAUUAUGGUGCGACAUUGGUGUUCUCCAUCUUCUAAAAGAAAACAAAUGAGACUACACUUGCAUAAUAUACUUAACAUGCUUCAGGACCUCUCAAGAAAAUCACAAGGACGAAGUAAUAUAAA